RNAcentral lists this long non-coding RNA (3055 nucleotides) under Homo sapiens (human). RNAcentral describes it as "HSALNT0301996". Lineage: Eukaryota; Metazoa; Chordata; Mammalia; Primates; Hominidae. The record is from RNAcentral.
UACAUUCUCAUGGAGCCAAACCCUUGGUCCUGCCAUGCAGUUUUAGGCUGAAUGAGGCAAGGGCAUGCUGUUUUCCCUCUGGGGUUUGGGGUUUAGGUGCCACGUAUUAACUCGUGGGAAGCUUGGCAAGACCCAUCCUUGGGGUUCAUCUCUUCUGGCUCCCACAGAGGCAGGCAGGCGGGUGAAGGCAGCAGAGGGUUCAGAUGUUUGUCUAUCCUCCUCCACUGCCAGGAAGUUAGGGUAAGACUAAAGGACUUAGUCUCAGGAUCUGAGGCACACAGUGGGCCUGCUGGGUCCCCGUGAGCGUUAAUGGCCAGACACAAACUCCUCCUGUCCUUGUACCUGGUGCCCGGAUGACCAGUUUGCUCUCUUCAAGCACUUUGAAGAAGUAGCUGAGAAUGGCAAUAAACUGAUUCCGGUCCUCUGUCUCUGUGAAGGGCUAGACAGGCAGCAUCUCAGUGCCUUUAUGGGCUAUUUCUGCAGAAGGACAGCAGGCAGACCCAGAUAAAGAGCCCACAUGCCCGCAGCCCAUUGCCUACCACUGCAGACAUCGCCAUGGCCUGAAUGCUGCCCCUUGGGCUUCUGCUCUUGCCAAGCCCACUGUUCCCCACACUCUAGUCACACCGAUGCUACCCUAAGCACCAACCCCAGAUGCCUCCAUAGCUUUGUGGAUGCCACUCAUCAGCCUGGAAUGUCCCCUCACAUGCAUCUACAGGGUCCCCUCAUCUCCCAGAUCCAGCCCUUGUGACACUGCAUUGCAUGUCUUUGUUUAUGGAUUAAAUGUAGGGACAGUGUCUUGUUCAUACCGUAUCCCCAGAACCUGGCACAGGGACUGGAAGAGAGUGGAUGCAAGGUCAAUGUCAGUUAAAAGAUGGAAGAGCAGGAAAGACCAGGCCCUCAGGCUAAUGCAGUUACAUGUAUUUUAUUAGGACUUAGGUCUUUUUAUAGAGCAUCUUCAGCUCCUCCAUACUUCAAACAUCUCUAUGCAUUUUUAUUUGCUCCCGUUUUUUCACUAGUAUUGAAUUCAGUAAACCUAGCAAGUAACCAUAUCUAGGUGGUGUGGGAGUAUGCAACACUCCAAAGUACAUUACAGCUGCAAAGUUGGAAGCUUAAAAUGCCUCCUCAACAUCACUGACAAACAGAACACAUAGAUAGAGGGAACCUUUCCUAUUUCCCCUAGCCAUGCCUUGGCUUUCUGACGAAACUUGACUCCUAGUAAGUUUUAUUUAUUUAUUUUCCUUUAAGAGCUAAUAUUUAUUGUACCCUUAGUAUACCUAGAAACUGUUUUAGGCUCUUUUCCCCCAUGUAUUAAUUCAUAUAAUCUGUUCAACAACCCUGUGAAAUAAGUACAAUUAUUAUACCUAUUUUACAGAUGAGGAAACUGAGGACCAGAGAAAACAACUAGUUUUCCAGAGCUCUCACCAUUGAGAUGAUGCCUGCAACAUCUUCGACAUUCUACACAUGGGAGUUGGGUUCUAAUUCCCUCCCUUGAUCCGGGAUCGCCUUACUGACUCGCUUGGCCAGUAGCACGCAGUGGAAGUCAAUGUCUGGAACUUUCAAGGUAGGUCAUACAUGACUUUGAAGCUUCCACCCGGGUCUCUUGGGAUCCUCCCUCUGAGCCACCUCGUAGAAAGUUUGACUAACCUAUUUAUAGCAACAUACUGGAGAAGCCAUUCACAUCAGUAGUUCUAAAUGAGUCUGGCCCCCCAGCCAUCAAGGCACCAGAAAUGUAAGCAAAGCCAGCUUCGACCCUCCAAACUAGACCAUUUACCAUCUGAUGCCAUCGAAUGACCUUCAUGGAGACCAUAGAAGACAUGAAUUGCCUAGCUGAUCCCUUCACAAAUUACCAGCCCACAAAGUUGGGGGAUAAAAUACAAUGGUUACUGUUUCAAGUUGUAAAAUGUUGAGAUGGUUUGUUGUGCAGUGGUAGAUAACUGGAACUUCAUUAUUUUUUCUUUCUCUCUUUCUCUCUCUCUCUUUCUUUCUUUCUAACUGAUACAAGUUUUUGAUAUCAUCACAAGGGAUACAGUCAUGAGCAAAACAUAUUCAACCUUGCCCUCAGGGGCUCUGGCAUUAAACAAUAAUACAAAUAAAUAUAUUCUUUAAAAGGUAUAAGUCAUCAGUGCUGCCAAAGUAAAAAGUGCCAAGAGAAACAUUAAUGGGGAGUCAAAUUAGGUUUCCGUAAGGCAGUAAUAGUUGAGCUGAGACUUGAAGGAUUUAGUUGGAUAUAGGACUGGGGAAAGGGGUAGGAGAGCAUUCUGGGCUGAGGGAAGAGCUGGUAUGAUGGUCCUAAAGGCUGGAAGUUGCUCGAUGCUUUGGGGCCCAUGUGGCUGGAGUAGAGUGAGGAGAAGUAGCCAGAAAUGAGGCUUGACGUGAGGGACAUGUGGCUGACUCUGGUGCACAACUCUCCAUGCUGCAUUGAAAGAGCUCCACAUCUGUGUUCCCUACCACAUGGGAGCUCCUUGAGGCCCUGUUCCAAAGUUUUAAGUGAUACCUCAUUCUAGAACAACAACAAAAAAUACACAUAUUAAAGUAACAUUAACCAGUUCCUUCAGGAUCUGCCCCAUGUCUAACUCUGUGGCCUUGUUCCCAGACAUCUCCCUUCCAACUCUUGGCGCUUCUGCUAUCCAGAACCACAUCAGCUUCCUGAACAGACCAAUGUCCACCUGCACCUGGGCCUCUGCAUGUCUCUUUCCUCUGCCUCAAGAGUGGAUCCACACCUUCCUUCUUCUAAGUGUAAUUAAAGAGGCCCUUUGUGCCGCCUUCAGAUUUUUUUUUCUUGUCCCAACUUUUCCUGUGCUCUUGUCUCCGUGGAACUAUUCAUACAGGUCAGUAUCAUUUUCCUUCUAGAAAAUGAGUCCAUUGGAAAGCCUCCCGGUUAGCCAUAAAACUUGAGAUCCCAGGGAAAGAUGUGGUCUUUCUUGCUGGAGACUGACUCAGAGAUUAUUUUCAUGAAGCCAAGGAGUUUAAGCUCAGAGCCCCUCCCUUGUUUAAAUCCCCUCAAGGACCUGAGGGUAAGAACCCUAGUAUUGUGUCCUAGGGGCGAUAUAUUUUA